RNAcentral lists this long non-coding RNA (432 nucleotides) under Olea europaea (common olive). RNAcentral's name for it is "long non-coding RNA (OEUR_LNC009386)". The record is from RNAcentral. Lineage: Eukaryota; Viridiplantae; Streptophyta; Magnoliopsida; Lamiales; Oleaceae.
UUUUAUAGACACUUUUAAUAGAUGGAAGUGUGUUUUAGCUAAUUUGAAGUUAACUAACAACAAUAAUGCGUCAUUAGCAUUCGUGUUUGGCACAUCAAUGAAUCUAUCAAAUUUUCUAACGUUGUGUUAUUGAGUGAAGUAUGAGAAAACAAUUUGAUAAGUUCAGUGAACAUCCAAAAAAAAAAUUCUAACUCAACGACAAAUUGGAUAACAUUAGAUAAGUUUAUUGACUUUUGAAAAGCUUUUAAAGUUUAAUGGCCCAAUAAAUUCAGUAACCAUUUGAGAAACUUUUAAAGUUUAACGGUUGACGAAAAAUAUUGUACAAAGUUCAUUGAUUAUUAGAAUUUUUAAACCAAAUAAUUACAAGGAAGUCUACAAAAUAAACAUGCAUUUAGGAUUUAUUUACAAUUUGCAUACCAUAUUUUGCAAAUU